Molecule: ribosomal RNA, 305 nt
Filed under: uncultured bacterium
Lineage: Bacteria
Description: bacterial SSU rRNA
Rfam family: Bacterial small subunit ribosomal RNA
Source: RNAcentral
UGCCUACGGGAGGCAGCAGUGAGGAAUAUUGGUCAAUGGGCGAGAGCCUGAACCAGCCAAGUCGCGUGAGGGAGUACUGCCCUAUGGGUUGUAAACUUCUUUUAUAUGGGAAUAAAAUGUUCCACGUGUGGGGUUUUGUAUGUACCAUAUGAAUAAGGAUCGGCUAACUCCGUGCCAGCAGCCGCGGUAAUACGGUGGAUCCGAGCGUUAUCCGGAUUUAUUGGGUUUAAAGGGAGCGUAGGUGGAUUGUUAAGUCAGUUGUGAAAGUUUGCGGCUCAACCGUAAAAUUGCAGUUGAAACUGGCA